GGACGGGGCGGCGUUCUAUACAUGCAAGUCGAGCGAACCGACGGGAGCUUGCUCCCUUAGGUUAGCGGCGGACGGGUGAGUAACACGUGGGUAACCUGCCUGUAAGACUGGGAUAACUCCGGGAAACCGGGGCUAAUACCGGAUGCUUGAUUGAACCGCAUGGUUCAAUUAUAAAAGGUGGCUUUUAGCUACCACUUACAGAUGGACCCGCGGCGCAUUAGCUAGUUGGUGAGGUAACGGCUCACCAAGGCGACGAUGCGUAGCCGACCUGAGAGGGUGAUCGGCCACACUGGGACUGAGACACGGCCCAGACUCCUACGGGAGGCAGCAGUAGGGAAUCUUCCGCAAUGGACGAAAGUCUGACGGAGCAACGCCGCGUGAGUGAUGAAGGUUUUCGGAUCGUAAAACUCUGUUGUUAGGGAAGAACAAGUACCGUUCGAACAGGGCGGUGCCUUGACGGUACCUAACCAGAAAGCCACGGCUAACUACGUGCCAGCAGCCGCGGUAAUACGUAGGUGGCAAGCGUUGUCCGGAAUUAUUGGGCGUAAAGCGCGCGCAGGCGGUUUCUUAAGUCUGAUGUGAAAGCCCCCGGCUCAACCGGGGAGGGUCAUUGGAAACUGGGGAACUUGAGUGCAGAAGAGGAGAGUGGAAUUCCACGUGUAGCGGUGAAAUGCGUAGAGAUGUGGAGGAACACCAGUGGCGAAGGCGACUCUCUGGUCUGUAACUGACGCUGAGGCGCGAAAGCGUGGGGAGCGAACAGGAUUAGAUACCCUGGUAGUCCACGCCGUAAACGAUGAGUGCUAAGUGUUAGAGGGUUUCCGCCCUUUAGUGCUGCAGCAAACGCAUUAAGCACUCCGCCUGGGGAGUACGGUCGCAAGACUGAAACUCAAAGGAAUUGACGGGGGCCCGCACAAGCGGUGGAGCAUGUGGUUUAAUUCGAAGCAACGCGAAGAACCUUACCAGGUCUUGACAUCCUCUGACACCCCUAGAGAUAGGGCU
RNAcentral lists this ribosomal RNA (999 nucleotides) under Bacillus sonorensis. RNAcentral's name for it is "bacterial SSU rRNA". It matches the Rfam family "Bacterial small subunit ribosomal RNA", at positions 31 to 1013 of the family's 1533-position model. Lineage: Bacteria; Bacillati; Bacillota; Bacilli; Caryophanales; Bacillaceae. The record is from RNAcentral.